Otolemur garnettii (small-eared galago) is the source of this 629-nucleotide RNA transcript. It is a transcript of the gene named M-phase phosphoprotein 6 pseudogene, with no coding region annotated. The transcript has a single exon. The record is from RefSeq and is a predicted model, not a curated record. Lineage: Eukaryota; Metazoa; Chordata; Mammalia; Primates; Galagidae.
UGGAGUGCCGCGCUGGGCUGCAUCAGCCAUGGCGGCCGAGCGGAAGACCAAGUUGUCCAAGAACCUGCUGCGCAUGAAGUUCAUGCAAAGGGGACUGGAUUCAGAAACCAAGAAACAACUGGAAGAGGAAGAAAAGAAAAUCACUGGUGAAGAGCACUGGUACUUGGACUUGCCAGCCCUGACAGAGAAAGAGAGUUUCAUAAUAGAAGAGCAGAGUUUCUUGUUAUGUGAAGAUCUUCUCUAUGGAAGAAUGUCAUUCAGAGGAUUUAAUCCUGAGGUCGAGAAACUGAUGCUUCAGAUGAAUUCUAAGAACAAAGCAGAAGUUGUUGAAGAUGAAACAGAGGAGGCUGAUGUGUCAGAUGAAGAAAUGGCUAGAAGAUACGAGACCUUGGUGGGGACAAUUGGGAAAAAGUUUGCCAAGAAGAGAGACCGUGCCAAUUAUGAAGAAGAUGAAAAUGGAGAUGUAAAACCAAUUAAAACAAAGAAGAUGUUUUUGAAGCCCCAAGACUAAAACACAUGCCUCAAGAGAUGGCUCAGGGACAGCUUGUGAAAGACAGCAACGUAUUUCAGAACUCACCCUGAUGGUAUCUCCAUACCUAUAAUACUAUAAUGUCCAUUUGUAAAGGGGU